CAGGACAUAAUUUAAUGAGAAUGUUAGCUUUGGGGGCUAAUUGUGAAGGUUUAACUCCUUUUGUCUUGA
This 69-nucleotide transfer RNA is filed under the name Rheobates palmatus (palm rocket frog). Its description in RNAcentral is "tRNA-Pro". It matches the Rfam family "tRNA". Rfam says of the family: Transfer RNA (tRNA) molecules are approximately 80 nucleotides in length. The record is from RNAcentral. Lineage: Eukaryota; Metazoa; Chordata; Amphibia; Anura; Aromobatidae.